This 468-nucleotide ribosomal RNA is filed under the name uncultured bacterium. RNAcentral describes it as "partial 16S ribosomal RNA". It matches the Rfam family "Bacterial small subunit ribosomal RNA", at positions 28 to 507 of the family's 1533-position model. The record is from RNAcentral.
GACGAACGCUGGCGGCGUGCUUAACACAUGCAAGUCGAACGGAAAGGCCCUGCUUUUGUGGGGUGCUCGAGUGGCGAACGGGUGAGUAACACGUGAGUAACCUGCCCUUGACUUUGGGAUAACUUCAGGAAACUGGGGCUAAUACCGGAUAGGAGCGCCUGCUGCAUGGGGGGGGUUGGAAAGUUUCGGCGGUUGGGGAUGGACUCGCGGCUUAUCAGCUUGUUGGGGGGGGAGUGGCUUACCAAGGCUUUGACGGGUAGCCGGCCUGAGAGGGUGGCCGGCCACAUUGGGCCUGCGAUACGGCCCAGACUCCUACGGGAGGCAGCAGUGGGGAAUAUUGCACAAUGGGCGGAAGCCUGAUGCAGCAACGCCGCGUGCGGGAUGACGGCCUUCGGGUUGUAAACCGCUUUCGCCUGUGACGAAGCGUGAGUGACGGUAAUGGGUAAAGAAGCACCGGCUAACUACGUG